RNAcentral lists this long non-coding RNA (963 nucleotides) under Nicotiana benthamiana. RNAcentral's name for it is "long non-coding RNA (NBEN_LNC013099)". Lineage: Eukaryota; Viridiplantae; Streptophyta; Magnoliopsida; Solanales; Solanaceae. The record is from RNAcentral.
UUUUUACAAACAAAAAUAAAGUAACUUUAAAAAAUAAUUUAAAAUAAUUAGAUGACUAUUUGAGUAAUGAAUCCAGAUAACAAGCUUCCCAUUUCCAAAUUCUCCUUCAUAUUGUUCUCGACUGAGAGAUAGAUCGAUCUAUUGCAUAAGGUGAUUUUUUUUGGCAAGAUCCACAACCAUCUGCAAAUAUCUCAUAAAUUUUUUAUUUAUAUAUUUUUGUGAAAAAGAAAAUCUUUCUGUAAAUGCUUAAACGUGAAAAGAAAUUACAAGAGCCGUACUAACAAAGUAUGACGCAAGUGAUCUUGGCUUUUUUUGCUUUAAUUGUUUACAUUUGCUACGAACUCUACAAUAAUAUCAUUAGAUGCAUAUCAAAUCCUUUAAAAUAGUAUAUGUUUAAGGAUUUGGCACGAAUACAACAAUAUUUUAAAGAGUCGGCGAAAUAUUUCUAUCACAUUGAUCACCACCAUCCAUGGACAACAUGGUUGCAAGUAUCCUUGAACCACCUAAAGCUUUUCCUAAGUGAACCCUUCAUCUUACCUUCCAUAGCAUAAGCUUUAUAUCCAACAACUCUUCUUUUUCUUUGCAAUUCAAGAUCAUUCAAAUUCCAUCCUUUUAUAGAUGAAGAUGACAUCACUUUGCUCUUAUUAUUAUUGCUCUUUUUCACCUUAUUCACUUCCAUAUCCAUAGAAAAAUAAGGAACAUAAGAAGUACUAUAACUCCUUAAAUCUUGCAUGUUUGUUGGUGUUGCUGCUGCUUUUUGCCUUCUUCCUUCUCUUGUUGACAUUGAUCUAAAAUUUUCCAUUAUUAGGAAUGAAAGUGAGAGCUUUAAUUUCUGAUGGGGUUUGGGUUUAGAGGAAGAGGGAGGGAUUUAGAGGGAGGAAAAAGAAAGGAUUGGUUAUUAGGCUUUGCUUCAAGAUUUGGUUUUGAGCAACUAUGGGUUUAUGUAGAAAAAGGGGAGGUGGC